AAGUCGUAACAAGGUCUCCGUUGGUGAACCAGCGGAGGGAUCAUUACCGAGUUUACAACUCCCAAACCCCUGUGAACAUACCUAUCGUUGCUUCGGCGGACCACCCCAACCCCUUCGGGGCGCGGGGCCCGCCAGAGGAUACCCAAAAUUCAAAUGUAUUUUGCCUUUACAAAUUUAUUCUGAGUGGAAUUUUUAAAUAAAUCAAAACUUUCAACAACGGAUCUCUUGGCUCUG
Molecule: unclassified non-coding RNA, 234 nt
Filed under: Cylindrocarpon sp.
Lineage: Eukaryota; Fungi; Ascomycota; Sordariomycetes; Hypocreales; Nectriaceae
Description: partial internal transcribed spacer region
Rfam family: Eukaryotic small subunit ribosomal RNA (bases 1-46)
Source: RNAcentral